UAAAAGUUUUAUUAUGGCUUUGGAAUUGGUUAUUUAAUUUUUGCACAUGUAAAUUUUUGUGUUAGCUUAAUUUAAAUGGUUUGGCUAUAGGUUGCAGUGUGGAAUUUUAGGAAUCAAGGUUACUUGGACUUAGGAAUUUAUUUUAAUGUAAACAAAAUUUGUGCCAGCAGUAGCGGUUAGACAGAUUACAUGAAUCAAUUAUAUUUAGGUUAAUUAAGCGGUCAAUUAUUGAAUUUAUAUUUGGAUUUUUUAGGUGAAAUUUUAAAUUUAAUUAAAUUUUUUUGAUGUUGUUGAGGUUAAUAAAUUUCUUUUUUAGACUAGGAUUAGAUACCCUAUUAUUGGAAACGUGAAUGUUAUAGCUAUAAUUAUUAAUAGUUAAGGACUUUAAAAUUAAAGAUUUUGGCGGUAUUUUAGUCUUUUCAGAGGAACCUGUUUUUUAAUUGAUAAUCCACGAUUAGUUUUACUUUACUUUUAAAUUUAUAUAUCGUUGUAAAAUAAACAUUUUUUUAGAAUUUAAAUGUUUGGGAUAUUUAAUUAUAAAAUAAUUCAGAUCAAGGUGUAGUUGAUAGUAAAGUUAAAAUGGGUUACAUUAUAUUUAUAUGUGGUUUUUUUGUUUAAAACUUUAGAAUAAAUUGGAUUUGAAAGUAAUUUUUAUAUAUAUAUAAGAUGAUUAAGCUCUAGAAUAUGUACAUAUCGCCCGUCGCUUUCGUUAUAAAAUGAAAUAAGUCGUAACAAAGUAGGUUUAUUGGAAAAUGUACCUGGAAUUAU
Molecule: non-coding RNA, 768 nt
Filed under: Machla setosa
Lineage: Eukaryota; Metazoa; Arthropoda; Insecta; Coleoptera; Tenebrionidae
Source: RNAcentral